Molecule: non-coding RNA, 299 nt
Organism: Marmota flaviventris (yellow-bellied marmot)
Lineage: Eukaryota; Metazoa; Chordata; Mammalia; Rodentia; Sciuridae
Source: RefSeq, a predicted model, not a curated record
UCACAACAAACUUGGAGAGCUGUGCCUGCCAGAAGAGCGUUUCUCUUGCUGGGAAUGUCAUUUCCAGAAGAUCGGAGGCUGAAAGCUUGGAGAGGAGGGAGGGACCACGUAGGCUGAAUCAUAGGGGUUGGAAGGUGUCACUCCACUGCAGCUCCACCACAUCCUGGCUGCCAGGAAGUGAGCAGCUUCCCUCCGAGGUGUCCUUCCUGUGAUGUGCUGCCUUACCUUGGGCCAGAACAUUGGACUGGCUGUCUAAAAAACAGAAACUAUGAACCGCAAAUAAACUUUUCCUCCUCUAA